RNAcentral lists this transfer RNA (91 nucleotides) under Cryomorphaceae bacterium. RNAcentral describes it as "tRNA-Ser". It matches the Rfam family "tRNA". Rfam says of the family: Transfer RNA (tRNA) molecules are approximately 80 nucleotides in length. Their secondary structure includes four short double-helical elements and three loops (D, anti-codon, and T loops). Lineage: Bacteria; Pseudomonadati; Bacteroidota; Flavobacteriia; Flavobacteriales; Cryomorphaceae. The record is from RNAcentral.
AGAGAGGUGGCCGAGUGGUUUAAGGCGCACGCUUGGAAAGCGUGUAUACGUUAAUAGCGUAUCGAGGGUUCGAAUCCCUUCCUCUCUGCAA